RNAcentral lists this ribosomal RNA (484 nucleotides) under Bacillus sp. (in: firmicutes). RNAcentral's name for it is "bacterial SSU rRNA". It matches the Rfam family "Bacterial small subunit ribosomal RNA", at positions 1 to 477 of the family's 1533-position model. The record is from RNAcentral. Lineage: Bacteria; Bacillati; Bacillota; Bacilli; Caryophanales; Bacillaceae.
GGAUUCGAUGAGUUUGAUCGUGGCUCAGGACGAACGCUGGCGGCGUGCCUAAUACAUGCAAGUCGAGCGGAUCGAUGGGAGCUUGCUCCCUGAGAUCAGCGGCGGACGGGUGAGUAACACGUGGGUAACCUGCCUGUAAGACUGGGAUAACUCCGGGAAACCGGGGCUAAUACCGGAUAACAUUUUCCUCCGCAUGGAGGAGAAUUGAAAGGUGGCUUCGGCUACCACUUACAGAUGGACCCGCGGCGCAUUAGCUAGUUGGUGAGGUAACGGCUCACCAAGGCGACGAUGCGUAGCCGACCUGAGAGGGUGAUCGGCCACACUGGGACUGAGACACGGCCCAGACUCCUACGGGAGGCAGCAGUAGGGAAUCUUCCGCAAUGGACGAAAGUCUGACGGAGCAACGCCGCGUGAGUGAAGAAGGUUUUCGGAUCGUAAAACUCUGUUGUUAGGGAAGAACAAGUACCGUUCGAAUAGGGCGGUA